RNAcentral lists this ribosomal RNA (496 nucleotides) under uncultured bacterium. RNAcentral describes it as "bacterial SSU rRNA". It matches the Rfam family "Bacterial small subunit ribosomal RNA", at positions 355 to 864 of the family's 1533-position model. The record is from RNAcentral.
UGAGGGAUAUUGCACAAUGGGGGAAACCCUGAUGCAGCGACGCCGCGUGGGUGAUGAAGGUCUUCGGAUCGUAAAGCCCUUUUGCAGAUGACGAGAACGGACGGCAGUCUGCGAAUAAGUCUCGGCUAACUACGUGCCAGCAGCCGCGGUAAAACGUAGGAGGCAAGCGUUAUCCGGAGUUACUGGGCGUAAAGAGUGCGUAGGCGGCAUCGUAAGUGGGACGUGAAAGCCUCUGGCUAAACUAGGGGAGGACGACUCAGACUGCGAAGCUAGAAUACAGUAGAGGACUGCGGAAUUCGGGGUGUAGCGGUGAAAUGUGUAGAGAUCCCGAGGAACACCAGAGGUGGAGACGGCGGUCUGGGCUGUGAUUGACGCUGAGGCACGAAAGCUUGGGGAGCGAACGGGAUUAGAGACCCCGGUAGUCCAAGCCGUAAACGAUGUCAACUGGGUGUCUGUGCGUCGAAAGGCGGAUGGGUGCCGAAGCGAACGCGGUAAG